This 301-nucleotide ribosomal RNA is filed under the name uncultured bacterium. RNAcentral describes it as "bacterial SSU rRNA". It matches the Rfam family "Bacterial small subunit ribosomal RNA", at positions 336 to 634 of the family's 1533-position model. The record is from RNAcentral.
UUCCUACGGGGCGCAGCAGUGAGGAAUAUUGGUCAAUGGGCGGGAGCCUGAACCAGCCAAGUCGCGUGAGGGAUGACGGCCCUAUGGGUUGUAAACCUCUUUUGCCGGGGAGCAAAGUGCCGCACGUGUGCGGUUUGGAGAGUACCCGGAGAAAAAGCAUCGGCUAACUCCGUGCCAGCAGCCGCGGUAAUACGUAGGGGGCAAGCGUUAUCCGGAUUUACUGGGUGUAAAGGGGGCGCAGACGGCGAUGCAAGCCAGGAGUGAAAGCCCGGGGCCCAACCCCGGGACUGCUCUUGGAACU